GCGUUUAAUUACAGCGCUCAGCGUGCGUUUAACCCCUGCAGCGUUCACUCACAGCGCGGUGAACUCUACUGAACGCGCGCAGUCCCGCGGCGGCCGGAUGAGGAUGAGAAUGCGAAUACGAUGGACGCCUGUACAUGAAGUCUGCUGUGGUAGCGCCUGAUACGAGUGUUUUGACCUGUAGAGUAUCCAGUGAAGAGUUUCAUGUAGUGUUCAGUUCACUCCUGCAGCGCUCGGUUAAUAAACUACACUGAACUGAAUGAAAAUCAGACCCUGUUGAUCAUGAACACGUCGAUGAUUAGUACCACCGCAGAACUGAUUUCAUUUUUACCAGCUCCGACUGAACGCCUACAGUGUUGCGCUCGUCGCUGCUUUUGAAUCAACACCUUCAGGGCUAAAUGAACUGUCGUAGUGCCGCGUGCGGGUUUAAUUCACGCGGCAUUUGAUCCCGUCCGCUGAACACACACAAAUGUUCCCCUUCGGGUCGUUUUAUUACAGGCCGCGUGUCCCUGCGGCGCUCGUCCGGCGUUCGGGUAACACUCACAGCUGAAUCAACGUCUGCAGGUGACGUUCAUGUCAUUCGAUUAAUUAACACGAGAAGAAUUCCUCUCAUCUUUAGAGUACUGAAUUAACGCCCGCAGUGUUGGGUUCAUUACACACGUUUAUUUAAGACGUGUAACGUCAGGUUAAUUACACACGUUUAUUUAAGACGUGUAACGUCGGGUUAAUUACACACGUUUAUUUAAGACGUGUAACGUCGGGUUAAUUACACACGUUUAUUUAAGACGUGUAACGUCGGGUUAAUUACACACGUUAUUUAAGACGUGUAACGUCGGGUUAAUUACACACGUUUAUUUAAGACGUGUAACGUCGGGUUAAUUACACACGUUUAUUUAAGACGUGUAACGUCGGGUUAAUUACACACGUUUAUUUAAGACGUGUAACGUCAGGUUAAUUACACACGUUUAUGCAGGUUAAUUAUAAACAUUUAUUUAGGUUAAUUAUAAACAUUUAUUUAGGUUACUUAUAAACAUUUAUUUAUGUUAAUUAAAAACAUUUAUUUAGGUUAAUUAAAAACAUUUAUUUAGGUUAAUUAUAAAUAUUUAUUUAGGUUAUUUAUAAACGUUUAUUUAAGACGUGUAGUGUUAAAUAAAUGUUUAUAAUUAAUCUAACACCACACGCCUUGAAUAAAUGUUUAUAAUUAAUGUAACCUGUAGUGUUAGAUUAAUUAUAAACGUUUAUUUAAAUACUACAGUCUUCAUUUAAUUAUCAGUGGAAUUAGCAUUUACAGUGCUGAGUUUUCUGAUCAGCACUGAUCUGAGACCUGUAGCAUUCACGGACUCACCAGUGUUGUAUUAAUGAAUGAUCACACAGUGUGUGUGGAAUUAGUGUGGAAUUAAGGCUCGCAGUGUUCAGUUCAGCAGUAGUGUUGGAUAUCUAAGCUUCUGGGAUUGACAGCCCGUCACAGUGGUUCUGGGUGGUGUGGAGUGGUUCUGGGUGGUGUGGAGUGGUUCUGGGUGGUGUUGA
This is a long non-coding RNA of Ictalurus punctatus (channel catfish), 1524 nucleotides long. NCBI's taxonomy places the organism in Eukaryota, Metazoa, Chordata, Actinopteri, Siluriformes, Ictaluridae. The record is from Ensembl.